This 459-nucleotide ribosomal RNA is filed under the name uncultured bacterium. RNAcentral describes it as "partial 16S ribosomal RNA". It matches the Rfam family "Bacterial small subunit ribosomal RNA", at positions 338 to 795 of the family's 1533-position model. The record is from RNAcentral.
CCUACGGGAGGCAGCAGUGAGGAAUAUUGGUCAAUGGGCGAGAGCCUGAACCAGCCAAGCCGCGUGAGGGAUGACGGUCCUAUGUAUUGUAAACCUCUUUUGUAGGGGAACAAAGGCGUCUACGUGUGGACUGAUGAGUGUACCCGAAGAUAAAGCAUCGGCUAACUCCGUGCCAGCAGCCGCGGUAAUACGGAGGAUGCGAGCGUUAUCCGGAUUUAUUGGGUUUAAAGGGUGCGUAGUCGGAUUGUAAAGUCAGCGGGAAAAACGCGGGGUUCAACGCCGAACAGCCGUUGAAACUGGGAGUCUUGAGUGGGGGAGAGGUAAGCGGAAUGCGUGGGGGAGCGGUGAAAUGCAUAGAUAUCACGCAGAACUCCGAUUGCGAAGGCAGCAUACUGGCGCCCUACUGACGCUGAGGCACGAAAGCGUGGGUAGCGAACAGGAUUAGAUACCCUAGUAGUC